GUGAGUCCUGAAACCCAAGCCCUUCCGUUUUCCUAUGAGAAAACUGAGGUUUCCUUUCGGACAUCACAAGAAGCUCUGUGGAAGCACUGUCGUCCCGAUCCAGGAGUAUUCUGUUAUUGGACUGUGCCCUGCUCGAAGACUCGGGCUGUCUCUCAGGCUUCCAUGCCAGUACAUUGUCUUGGUUUUUCUCUUAGCCACCUUUCCUAGGUUUCCCUCCCUGGUUCCUCCAGCCCUUUCCUAUAUAUAAAUCAGUUUAUCAAAUUCCUUUUUCCCCCGCUUUCUUUCCCUUUUUAGAAUGCCCACCCAAGUCCAGAGCAGGAACAAGUUGGAAGUUGGGGUGGUGGACUGAGGAAUGUGCCCUUCAGUGAACUAGGCAGAGCCAGCCCAGAAUCAAAUGUUUUUGUGUUUGUUUUGUUUUGUGGUGCUAGGGAUGGAACCCAGGGCUUCAUGCAAGCACUCCACCACUGAACCACAUCCCCAGGCCCAGGUUAUCAAAUAGUUGAUUUGUGCUUGAUUCUGGGCAUACAAAACUGAAUAAAAUUUGGCCCUUGAGGAGCAACCACCAGAACUUACUCUUGUCUUAACAUGACUGAUUCUAUCUCACUUCAACCUUUACCCCUAAGCUGAUGACUAUCAAACAUCCAUCUACAUCUGUGCUCUUAGGAAUUCUAGCCCCUUCUCAGAUUCCUACAGAACCAGCACUGGUAAGUACAGUCAUGAUUUAAUAUCCUUGGCUUAUAUUAUUGGACAUUA
RNAcentral lists this long non-coding RNA (753 nucleotides) under Marmota monax (woodchuck). Lineage: Eukaryota; Metazoa; Chordata; Mammalia; Rodentia; Sciuridae. The record is from RNAcentral.